UCUUCAGUCAAGGGUAUAUGAGUAGCUGCACUCCCCUGCUAGAACCUCCAAACAAGCUCAAGGUCAGGUUUCUUAAAGUGGAAAAAC
RNAcentral lists this small RNA (87 nucleotides) under Meriones unguiculatus (Mongolian gerbil). Its description in RNAcentral is "7SK RNA (ENSMUGG00000021804.1)". The record is from RNAcentral. Lineage: Eukaryota; Metazoa; Chordata; Mammalia; Rodentia; Muridae.